AUGGGGAUGGAACAAGGGCUCCGCGCGGCCGUGACCCUGCUGGAGUGCGGGGGGGACCUCCAGCCCCACGGGGGGUCCCUGCGCCUCCUCUGCCGAGGGGCUGGGUUCAGUUUUGGCAGUUUUGGCAUGCAAUGGAUCCGCCAGAGACCCGGGCAGGGGCUGGAGUGGCUCGCAGGGAUCUACAGCAGUGGCAGCACCGCGUACGCGCUGUCGGUGCAGGGCCGGGUCACGAUCUCCAGGGACAACGGGCAGAGCUCGGUGACGCUGACCAUGACCGACCUCCGGGACGAGGAUUCCGGAUCCUAUUUCUGUGCCAAAUCUGCUUAUGCUGAUUAUUGGAAUCCUGGUGCUAAUGGUGGUGACACCAGUGUGGAUCCCCACCCCCGCGCC
Non-coding RNA from Haemorhous mexicanus (house finch), 390 nucleotides. The record is from the annotation of a RefSeq genome assembly. Lineage: Eukaryota; Metazoa; Chordata; Aves; Passeriformes; Fringillidae.